Molecule: transfer RNA, 69 nt
Filed under: Marmota monax (woodchuck)
Lineage: Eukaryota; Metazoa; Chordata; Mammalia; Rodentia; Sciuridae
Description: tRNA.Val
Source: RNAcentral
GUUUGUAGCUCAGUGGUACAGCGCUUGCCUAACAGGUGCAAGGCCCUGGGUUUGAUCCUCAGCACCACA